Molecule: ribosomal RNA, 668 nt
Filed under: uncultured bacterium
Lineage: Bacteria
Description: bacterial SSU rRNA
Rfam family: Bacterial small subunit ribosomal RNA
Source: RNAcentral
AGUGGCGCACGGGUGAGUAACGCGUGGGAACAUGCCCCUUAGUACGGGACAACGUCGGGAAACUGACGCUAAUACCGUAUAAUAUCUCCGGAUCAAAGAUUUAUCGCUGAGGGAGUGGCCCGCGUCUGAUUAGCUAGUUGGUGAGGUAAUGGCUCACCAAGGCUACGAUCAGUAGCAGGUCUGAGAGGAUGAUCUGCCACACUGGGACUGAGACACGGCCCAGACUCCUACGGGAGGCAGCAGUUAGGAAUAUUGGACAAUGGGCGAAAGCCUGAUCCAGCCAUGCCGCGUGUGUGAUGAAGGCCCUAGGGUUGUAAAGCACUUUCGUUGGGGAUGAUAAUGACCGUACCCAAAGAAGAAGCACCGGCUAACUUCGUGCCAGCAGCCGCGGUAAUACGAAGGGUGCAAGCGUUGUUCGGAAUCACUGGGCGUAAAGAAUGCGUAGGCGGCUUAACAAGUCGGGAGUGAAAUCCCAGGGCUCAACCCUGGAACUGCUCUCGAAACUGUUUUGCUAGAGUCCCGGAGGGGUUAGCGGAAUUCCGAGUGUAGAGGUGAAAUUCGCAGAUAUUCGGAGGAACACCAGUGGCGAAGCGGCUAACUGGACGGGAACUGACGCUGAGCAUGAAGUGUGGGGAUCAAACAGGAUUAGAUACCUGUAGUCACACGUA